AGGGAUCAUUACUGAGUGAGGGCUCACGCCCGACCUCCAACCCUCUGUGAACACAUCUUGUUGCUUCGGGGGCGACCCUGCCGGCACUACGUCGCCGGGCGCCCCCGAAGGUCUCCAAACACUGCAUCUUUGCGUCGGAGUUUAAACAAAUUAAACAAAACUUUCAACAACGGAUCUCUUGGUUCUGGCAUCGAUGAAGAACGCAGCGAAAUGCGAUAAGUAAUGUGAAUUGCAGAAUUCAGUGAAUCAUCGAAUCUUUGAACGCACAUUGCGCCCUUUGGUAUUCCGAAGGGCAUGCCUGUUCGAGCGUCAUUUCACCACUCAAGCCUGGCUUGGUAUUGGGCGUCGCGGCUCCGCGCGCCUUAAAGUCUCCGGCUGAGCCAUUCGUCUCUAAGCGUUGUGGAUUUUCUAAUUCGCUUCGGAGUGCGGGUGGCCGCGGCCGUUAAAUCUUUCUUAAGGUUGACCUCGGAUCAGGUAGGGAUA
This 483-nucleotide ribosomal RNA is filed under the name Pseudocercospora plectranthi. RNAcentral describes it as "eukaryotic LSU rRNA". The stretch from base 159 to 312 matches the Rfam family "5.8S ribosomal RNA". Lineage: Eukaryota; Fungi; Ascomycota; Dothideomycetes; Mycosphaerellales; Mycosphaerellaceae. The record is from RNAcentral.